Molecule: unclassified non-coding RNA, 386 nt
Filed under: uncultured bacterium
Lineage: Bacteria
Description: contains 16S-23S intergenic spacer region
Source: RNAcentral
UCCUGGUUUCCCAGGCAGUCCCAUCAGAGUGCUUUACCUUACGGCAAUUGCAACUGACAGCAGGGGUUGCGCUCGUUAGAGGACUUAACCCAACAUCUCACGACACGAGCUGACGACAGCCAUGCAGCACCUGUGUAGUUGUCUAGACCGAAGCCUAGAAAGUCGUAUUUCUACGACGGUCAAAAACAUGUCAAGCCUAGGUAAGGUUCCUCGCGUAGUGUCGAAUUAAACCACAUGUUCCACCGCUUGUGCGGGCCCCCGUCAAUUCCUUUAAGUUUUAGUCUUGCGACCGUACUCCCCAGGCGGAUCACUUAACGCGUUAGCUUCGACACUAACCCCAAAAUCGGGGUUAACGUCCAGUGAUCGUCGUUUACAGCGUGGACUAC